UCGAACGAGGUGCUUUAUGUAGCAAUACGAGGAGUAUCCUGGUGGCGAACGGGUGAGUAACGCGUGGGUGACCUACCCCAAAGUGUGGAAUAACAGUCCGAAAGGAUUGCUAAUGCCGCAUGUGGUCUGCGAGUUUAGAAAUCGUUGACUAAAGGAGCAAUUCGCUUUGGGAGGGACCUGCGUCCCACCAGCUAGUUGGUGAGGUAACGGCUCACCAAGGCUACGACGGGUAGGGGACCUGAGAGGGUGGCCCCCCACAAUGGAACUGAAACACGGUCCAUACACCUACGGGUGGCAGCAGUAGGGAAUAUUGCACAAUGGGCGAAAGCCUGAUGCAGCAACGCCGCGUGCGCGAUGAAGGUCUUCGGAUCGUAAAGCGCUUUUCUGAGAGAUGAGAAAGGACAGUAUCUCAGGAAUAAGUCUCGGCUAACUACGUGCCAGCAGCCGCGGUAAAACGUAGGAGGCGAGCGUUAUCCGGAUUCACUGGGCGUAAAGCGCGUGCAGGUGGUUCGGUAAGUUGGGCGUGAAAUCUCCCGGCUCAACUGGGAGAGGUCGUUCAAUACUACCGGACUUGAGAGCAGAAGAGGAAGAUGGAAUUCCCGGUGUAGUGGUGAAAUGCGUAGAUAUCGGGAGGAACACCAGUGGCGAAGGCGAUCUUCUGGUCUGUUUCUGACACUCAGACGCGACAGCUAGGGUAGUAAACGGGAUUAGAGACCCCGGUAAUCCUAGCCGUAAACGAUGUGAACUUGGCGUUGGUGGGUUAAACUCCAUCAGUGCCGAAGCAAACGCGAUAAGUUCACCGCCUGGGGACUACGGCCGCAAGGUUAA
This 828-nucleotide ribosomal RNA is filed under the name uncultured bacterium. Its description in RNAcentral is "bacterial SSU rRNA". It matches the Rfam family "Bacterial small subunit ribosomal RNA", at positions 62 to 897 of the family's 1533-position model. The record is from RNAcentral.